Molecule: ribosomal RNA, 402 nt
Filed under: bacterium
Lineage: Bacteria
Description: partial 16S ribosomal RNA
Rfam family: Bacterial small subunit ribosomal RNA
Source: RNAcentral
UGGGGAAUUUUGCACGAUGGGGGAAACCCUGAUGCAGCGACGCCGCGUGAUUUAGAAGGCCUUCGGGUUGUAAAAAUCUUUUCUAUGGGAAGAAAAUGACAGUACCAUAGGAAUAAGGACCGGCUAAUUACGUGCCAGCAGCCGCGGUAAUACGUAAGGUCCGAGCGUUGUCCGGAAUCAUUGGGCGUAAAGGGUACGUAGGCGGGUAAGCAAGUUAGAAGUGAAAUCCUAUAGCUCAACUAUAGUAAGCUUUUAAAACUGCUCAUCUUGGGGUAUGGAAGGGAAAGUGGAAUUCCUAGUGUAGCGGUGAAAUGCGCAGAUAUUAGGAGGAAUACCGGUGGCGAAGGCGAAUUUCUGGCCAUAACCUGACGCUGAGGUACGAAAGCGUGGGUAGCAAACAGG